UCAACGUUUCAGUGAUGCAUAGAGGACUUUCAUCAGGAUCAAAUAAUAAUAUUUGAUCCUGAUGAAAGUCCUCUAUGCAGGCCUGAAAUG
Non-coding RNA from Pelobates cultripes (western spadefoot toad), 90 nucleotides. NCBI's taxonomy places the organism in Eukaryota, Metazoa, Chordata, Amphibia, Anura, Pelobatidae. The record is from the annotation of a GenBank genome assembly.